UGUUGAAACACCAUUCUCAUACAACCACCAAAGUUAAGCUAUAUCGAGCCUGGUCAGUACCUAGAUGGGUGACCAUUUAGGAAUACCAAGUGCUGUAAG
Molecule: non-coding RNA, 99 nt
Organism: Acanthosepion pharaonis
Lineage: Eukaryota; Metazoa; Mollusca; Cephalopoda; Sepiida; Sepiidae
Source: the annotation of a GenBank genome assembly